UGUUGAAUUGUUCUAAUGGCGUAUUGCACCUUUCUGAGAUGUGUUCAGGUGAUAUGGUAAGGUGUGAAACUUGAUUGUUUAGACGAUUGGUUGUCGGGAAAUUGAAUCGGAUUGAUGUGUAGUUCACCUGAUUAGCUGAUACACCAUGGCCAACCGCUGAAGGUCACAUAUACCCGUCUGAAUUGUGGAUCCUCAUCUCUGCCAUUGCUGUUAAUAAAAAGAUAAGAGCUGUCCGUGCAUUGGGAUAAGGGAAGGAACUCUACAUGGGCUCCGAGAAACCAUGACCAACCGCUUAAGGUCACCUAUACCAUACUGAACUGUCCUUGCAUUGAGAUAAGGGCAGGAACUCUACAUGGGUUCCGAUACACCCUGGUCAACAGCUGCAUGUCACAUAUACCAGACUGAAGUAUAAACCAUCAUCUCUGCCAUUGCUGUGAAUACAAAGAUAUGCGAUAUCAUUUUUAAAGGUCAGUUUCCAGUUCGUGUCAGAUGGGACACAAACACGAUCCGGUUCCACUGCUGAAGAAGUAUGGCGCAACGUUUACGGAUGCCAUGAAGAUUCCUCAAUUUAGACGUUCCGUGAAGGCUGAACAUCGUUGCAUAUUAAAGAAAUUGGAGUGACUGAAUAAUAUUUUUCGGCGUAGCUGUUUAACGUCACUUUUGACCUUAGAUGACCUUCAUUCAUGAUAGGUCCCAAAUGAAUAAAUCCGAAUUGUGCAUUGGCUAAUAAUACAUAAAUCACCGUAAACACAUUGGAUGCAUAUCAUUUGAAUUGAAAUAUGAAUAUAUUGUAAAAUUACAUUAAAAGUAGCUAUUGUUUAUAUGCCGUAGCGGUCACACUAAACACUGCAAAAACAGGCUAGAUUGCGCUUUACGGGUACGCAGUUGUUUACCACUAUUGACAAAGCGGGGGUUUCGGGGCGGUAGCCCCCGAAACUUAGGAAAUAUAUAGGUGCUAAAAAUAUGUCUGUCUUUGAUUUAUUCUAAUCAAUAUUAGUGCGUUUAUUAGUGUUAAUUUGUUUCUUUGUACUUAGUUUUGUUCAUUUUUUAUAUAAAGUUCUGUGUUUCUGCAAAAUAUUCAUAUCACUAUGAUGCUUGCAAUAUUGAGUCUUUUAUGUUUACAUUCUAUUAACAUCUUUACACAUUAUAACACAUUAUCUUUUAUUUCAUUCCAACAUUGUGUUCAUAGUACUUCAGUGGCGAAUUUGUUUUCUUUUCCUAUUGAAUUUAAUGUAUU
Long non-coding RNA from Dreissena polymorpha, 1237 nucleotides. RefSeq lists it as uncharacterized. The record is from RefSeq and is a predicted model, not a curated record. NCBI's taxonomy places the organism in Eukaryota, Metazoa, Mollusca, Bivalvia, Myida, Dreissenidae. The transcript is spliced from 5 exons.